ACACAAUAAUUCUACUUAGACUAUGGAAUCUUAGGAGUUGCAGUUUAGAGAGGAGGAUCUAGAAUUCUAGGCCAAAGUGCUCUAGCUUUUACAGUGGCUAAUAUUUUUUGUUUGUUUUACUUUUUUAAUGAGUCUUGUUUAUUUUUUAUUUUUUAGUUUAUGGAAGACUUUGGUGGUUUUCCAAAUGUAGCAAAGAAAUGCUUUAAGUAAAUAAAAAUUAGACAAUAAAUGGUAAGUACGUCACAGUAUUAAAAUGUAGAUCUAAGGCAAAAUACAGAUGGGCACUUUGUAGCAUGGCGGUUCUAGGGUUAGGGACCACACACCAACUGCACGUUCCCUAACCCUAGUAUGUCACGGUAACAGCUUCAUUGCGGCAGUCCUUCCACCCAGUCACCACCAUGAUGAUGUCGCAGCUGCAUCGCUUACAUCAUAAGUGAUCCAAUGGCACACUUGUGACGUAAGCCAGGCACCGCAAAAAGAACUGGGUUCUUUUUACUGCACAGGGACGCUGCACGGUUUGGCGGCUUCCACAGGUAAAAUGGGUGAGUCCAGCCCAGCCUUUCAGGGAGGUUUGUACUGCCCCUAAGUUAGGACUCAAGCUAACACACGCUUGGUGUCAGGAAAGACUUGGUGACAGGGACUGGGAAGAAGUAGUGUGGAAAUUCAUAUCUCUGACAGAGGAGUCAGAAAGCAACAGUUAUUUUCAGGAUGAAUUAAUUAUCUUCCCUCUGGCCAAAUUGCUGUCAUCAUCAUCCAAAAAUGGCAAAUGGUGCCCCCAUGAACAUUUGGAGUGUGCAGUUUUUCCUCUAAAUGUAAUUCACCUGGACAUCUCUCCAUACUCAUUUUGUUCUUUUUCUCAGGAAAAAGCCCUAUCUGUCUGUCUGUCUGUCUGCCUGUCUGUCCAUCCAUCUAUCCAUCUGGAACUGCCUUGGUAGAUGUAAAAAUGAGAGAUCAUUCAGUGCUGCAUGCCUGCCCAAAUGGCCAGUGUACCUUAUGCUCACUGAUGAAGAAUCCAGCCAAAUGGGAGAAAUAUCAAAUGAAUUUUCAGACAUGAUAUUGAACAACUUGGAAAAUAAGCCUUGUGAAAGAAAAAAUAAUUUACUGACAUCUGAUAACUGCAAUGUGUAAUGAGCCUCAUUUCUAAAAGCCAAAAAACAAUAAGGGAUCGAAGCACAUGGGAGAGAAAACCCUAUGCUACUGUGAAACUGUUUGAAUUGUUUAUGUUUCGGAAGAAGAGAAGCUGGCAAAAAUGGCUACCACACUGAAAGGACCUCUCCUUUGAAAUAUCCUGUGAAUAAGAUAAUCAUGGUGAAAAUCCACUUUCUGAGCAUGACUAGAGCAGACCUAUUGAUGUUAAACAGUGAUGUAACAUUCAGCUUUGAUCCCAGCUUCAUCAGCUAGUGAAUCCGGGUAAUGUCUGUUGUUAUCUGUUGUUUUUAAUUUGUUGCCUGCUUUAUUUUACUGAAUUCUAUCAUAGAAUCAUAGAAUUGUAGAGUUGGAAGAGACCACAAGGGCCAUCCAGUCCAUCGCCCUGCCAUGCAAGAAAUCAC
This is a long non-coding RNA of Sceloporus undulatus (fence lizard), 1550 nucleotides long. RefSeq lists it as uncharacterized. NCBI's taxonomy places the organism in Eukaryota, Metazoa, Chordata, Lepidosauria, Squamata, Phrynosomatidae. The transcript has 3 exons. The record is from RefSeq and is a predicted model, not a curated record.